This 494-nucleotide ribosomal RNA is filed under the name uncultured bacterium. RNAcentral describes it as "partial 16S ribosomal RNA". It matches the Rfam family "Bacterial small subunit ribosomal RNA", at positions 28 to 507 of the family's 1533-position model. The record is from RNAcentral.
GACGAACGCUGGCGGCGUGCUUAACACAUGCCAGUCGAACGGUGAAGCGCCUUCCUUUUUGGUGGGUGUGGAUGAGUGGCGAACGGGUGAGUAACACGUGAGUAACCUGCCCCCUUCUUCUGGAUAACCGCAUGAAAGUGUUGCUAAUACGGGAUAUUCUGGGUCUGUCGCAUGAUGGGUCUGGGAAAGAUAUUGUUUCGGUGGGGGAUGGGCUCGCGGCCUAUCAGCUUUUUGGUGGGGUGAUGGCCUACCAAGGCGGUGACGGGUAGCCGGCCUGAGAGGGUGGACGGUCACACUGGGACUGAGACACGGCCCAGACUCCUACGGGAGGCAGCAGUGGGGAAUAUUGCACAAUGGGCGCAAGCCUGAUGCAGCGACGCCGCGUGAGGGAUGGAGGCCUGCGGGUUGUGAACCUCUUUCGCCAGUGAAGCAGGCCUGCCUCGUUUGUGGGUGGGUUGACGGUAGCUGGAUAAGAAGCGCCGGCUAACUACGUG